This 819-nucleotide ribosomal RNA is filed under the name uncultured soil bacterium. Its description in RNAcentral is "bacterial SSU rRNA". It matches the Rfam family "Bacterial small subunit ribosomal RNA", at positions 60 to 890 of the family's 1533-position model. The record is from RNAcentral.
AGUCGAACGAUUAAAGCUCUCUUCGGAGAGUGUAUAGAGUGGCGCACGGGUGAGUAACACGUAAGUAAUCUACCCUCGAGUGGGGAAUAACGUUCGGAAACGAACGCUAAUACCGCAUAAUGCAGCGGCAUCGCAAGAUGACAGUUGUUAAAGGAGUAAUUCGCUUGAGGAGGAGCUUGCGGCAGAUUAGCUUGUUGGUAAGGUAACGGCUUACCAAGGCUACGAUCUGUAUCCGGUCUAAGAGGACGGUCGGACACACUGACACUGAAUAACGGGUCAGACUCCUACGGGAGGCAGCAGUCGGGAAUUUUGGGCAAUGGGCGAAAGCCUGACCCAGCAACGCCGCGUGAAGGAUGAAGUAUUUCGGUAUGUAAACUUCGAAAGAAUGGGAAGAAUAAAUGACGGUACCAUUUAUAAGCUCCGGCUAACUACGUGCCAGCAGCCGCGGUAAUACGUAGGGAGCAAGCGUUGUUCGGAUUUACUGGGCGUAAAGGGCGCGUAGGCGGCGCGGUAAGUCACUUGUGAAAUCUCUGAGCUUAACUCAGAACGGCCAAGUGAUACUGCAGUGCUAGAGUGCAGAAGGGGCAAUCGGAAUUCUUGGUGUAGCGGUGAAAUGCGUAGAUAUCAAGAGGAACACCUGAGGUGAAGACGGGUUGCUGGGCUGACACUGACGCUGAGGCGCGAAAGCCAGGGGAGCAAACGGGAUUAGAUACCCCGGUAGUCCUGGCCCUAAACGAUGAAUACUUGGUGUCUGGAGUUUCAAGACUUCGGGUGCCGUCGCUAACGUUUUAAGUAUUCCGCCUGGGGAGUACGCUCGCA